Molecule: small RNA, 486 nt
Filed under: Histoplasma capsulatum var. duboisii H88
Lineage: Eukaryota; Fungi; Ascomycota; Eurotiomycetes; Onygenales; Ajellomycetaceae
Description: Histoplasma capsulatum H88 hypothetical RNA
Source: RNAcentral
CAGGCAUUCUUGUCGCGCACAUGAUGUCAAUUGUUUCGAAGGUUGAGUGUUCCUUUGUUUUUUGAUUUGAACACGCACGAAAAGUUAGGGAUCAGAAAGCAAGUGGUGGAAUAACUCCUUGCUCAAGCAACCCUCCGGCGCGUCCCGCCCAUACUCGCCAAACUAUUAUUCUGGCUUGCAGAAAUCCCGCAAAGGGUGGCUUCAUGGAUGCGUUUUGCCAAUUCCCCCAAGCUUCUCUCUGUUUGCCGCAGGAGGGAGGGUACAAAAGUUGCGGAUUAAACACUAUUUAGACAUGAUUGAUUUCCUAGAUUGAAAACGGAAUGCAAGGAAAAUAUGCCGACUAUUCAUUCGAUACACCUGAUGGCAGAAAAUUACACCGUCCUCGACAGGAAAGUCUGGCUCGAAUUGGCAAAUGUGUGGACAGAGGUCAUCCUGCUUUCCCGCCCAAUCAAACAUUUCCUUUGCUUCGUUUUGCUGCAGUAUAUC